Non-coding RNA from Aedes aegypti (yellow fever mosquito), 74 nucleotides. Lineage: Eukaryota; Metazoa; Arthropoda; Insecta; Diptera; Culicidae. The record is from Rfam.
CCUCUCAUGGCGUAGUGGUUAAUGCGCCCCAACUAGAGAUCGGGGAGUUGUGAGUUCGAUUCUCACUGAGAAGA